This 1254-nucleotide long non-coding RNA is filed under the name Olea europaea subsp. europaea. Lineage: Eukaryota; Viridiplantae; Streptophyta; Magnoliopsida; Lamiales; Oleaceae. The record is from RNAcentral.
CAUCGUUGACAAUCCAUAGUGUCUUUUUUUUUUUGGGAUAUUGUAGGUUGUUAUUAUAAAAAAUAUAAAAUAAAACAGUAGUAAAAAUCUCAAAUUGCUUUCUACCAUCGUUGACAAUCUAUGCAUCUUGUAGUUCUUUUUUCUUUUUCUUUUUUCUCUUUUUUUUUUGGGUGGUAGGCUUUAUAAUAAUAACAACAAUAACAAUAAAAAAAAUAAAAUCACAAGUUGCUUUCUACCAUCAACGAAGAUCCUAGUAUUAGACCAUUUCAAGUCAAGGUGGUUUUGGCAUGGUUAAAGCCUUGCUCAUAACAAGUUCGUGUUCGUGAUGUUGGUCUGAUGUGCGGGGUAAUUUGCACAUUCUAUGGGACAGAAGCAAGGCAUCGAGAUGUACCUUCACUAUUGUGGUAGUUGAAUGUUGACGAUUAAUGGUCAACGAUCGUCCUAAGUGACAUCUAAUCCUCAAUCUAUCGCUACCCACCACCACAACUCUAAGUAGCAACCCAAACAGGCCGCUCCCAAAACAGCCACUGCACCAUCGCAUCAUAGCCCAAACACCACCACACUACAAAAAUAUAACCACAAAUCAAAUUGAUUGACACCAACAAAUCUGAUCAAUGAACGAAUCGAAAAAACUCAGCAACAAAUCUGCCCACCAGUUUUAUUGAAGUAGAUGCCAUUGAUAUUGAUGGAGACAGCGACAAACAAAUUGGAAAAGCUCACCGGCAGAUAACUGGAAACACUAGAACCUUCCAAUUUGGUAGUCGCCUUUGAAUCCUCACUAUAUAAUUUUCACUCUUCAACUUCAACUUCAGCUCUCUCUCUCUUUUUCUAAAACUUUCAAACACAACAGAUAUAGAUGACGAUUCAACGCAUGAACUCUCCUGUAACUCCAACUCAUCACAAUUGCUACUCUCAUUUUACACUUUGCUCCUAUAAUAAGAUCUCUUAACUCUCCGAUAUUUAUCUCUAGCUUCAUUUUCAGAUUCUCACUUCCUUGGCAGAAGUUAUUGACGGAGCACUUCUAUGUGUGUGGAGGAAAUGGUGAUAAAUAGCCACAAAAAACAUACAAUUUUUCAAAAAGGCCGUUGACCACUGUUUAAAAAAAAAUCAAAAAUUUGUAAAAACCUUAAAAACAUUGAAAACCCAAAAUUGCCCCUGACAUUUCACUCUCACAAACUGACGUAUGGACUCUGGAGAAAGAAGGGGAAGAAAAAAUAAGGAAACUGACGAGUUUUUCUUGGAAAGAGACCGACG